AGUGAACGCUGGCGGUAGGCCUAACACAUGCAAGUCGAACAGCAGCACAGUAAGAGCUUGCUCUUACGGGUGGCGAGUGGCGGACGGGUGAGGAAUACAUCGGAAUCUACUUUUUCGUGGGGGAUAACGUAGGGAAACUUACGCUAAUACCGCAUACGACCUACGGGUGAAAGCAGGGGAUCUUCGGACCUUGCGCGAUUGAUGAGCCGAUGUCGGAUUAGCUAGUUGGCGGGGUAAAGGCCCACCAAGGCGACGAUCCGUAGCUGGUCUGAGAGGAUGAUCAGCCACACUGGAACUGAGACACGGUCCAGACUCCUACGGGAGGCAGCAGUGGGGAAUAUUGGACAAUGGGCGCAAGCCUGAUCCAGCCAUACCGCGUGGGUGAAGAAGGCCUUCGGGUUGUAAAGCCCUUUUGUUGGGAAAGAAAAGCAGCAGGUUAAUACCCCGCUGUUCUGACGGUACCCAAAGAAUAAGCACCGGCUAACUUCGUG
RNAcentral lists this ribosomal RNA (491 nucleotides) under uncultured bacterium. RNAcentral describes it as "partial 16S ribosomal RNA". It matches the Rfam family "Bacterial small subunit ribosomal RNA", at positions 29 to 507 of the family's 1533-position model. The record is from RNAcentral.